This 252-nucleotide ribosomal RNA is filed under the name uncultured bacterium. RNAcentral's name for it is "partial 16S ribosomal RNA". It matches the Rfam family "Bacterial small subunit ribosomal RNA", at positions 524 to 776 of the family's 1533-position model. The record is from RNAcentral.
UACGUAGGGGGCAAGCGUUGUCCGGAUUCAUUGGCGUAAAGAGCGUGUAGGCGGCCAGGUAGGUCGGUUGUGAAAACUGGAGGCUCAACCUUCAGAGGUCGACCGAAACCAUCUGGCUAGAGUCCGGGAGAGGAGAGUGGAAUUCCUGGUGUAGCGGUGAAAUGCGCAGAUAUCAGGAAGAACACCCGUGGCGAAAGCGGCUCUCUGGAACGGUACUGACGCUGAGACGCGAAAGCGUGGGGAGCGAACAGG